AUCAACCUUCAGUUCUUCGAUUUAAUUCAGUUCAAAUUACAAGUUAAUAAUCGACAAUAAAAUAAAAAUGUGUAAAUUAUUUUUAAUAUUGUUAAUUUUAACAUCAAUCCUGUCUUUAUCUUUUUCAACAAAUAAUUCUGAUUGUGCAGAAGAAAAAUAUUCAUACGAAUUACAAUUAAAUCUAAAAGAUCCAGAUGUGGUUAAAUUCGCGGAAGUUGGCUGGAACAAAUUAGUAGCUGAAGGAAAAACCAGUGGACAGACGAGAAAAAAUAAUUUUUAUUAUAUUAUUUGCGCAAGAGUCCAAGUUAUAGACACUGAAAGAAGAUACACCAUAAUUAUUUCAUUUCCUAUUUAUUUUCCCAGCAGUGUUGAUAUUUUUAUUUGUAUAAUAAUUGUUAUGACUAAUCAAACGGAUCCUUUAAGUAUAAGUUGUCAUCCGGAAAGUCUUAUAGAUUUACACGACGCCUGUAUGUAGCAACGUAAUCAGUGGGAUCUCUACUACCUAGAUAGUCGAAUCUGUCAUAAGCCGGGAAAAAAAGAUUAGAUCUGACUAUAUAUAAAAAGAUCAGGUUCAGAUUUACCUUAGCAGAUCUAGCCAGAUCUUUAAAUUGUCCAUAUCUGACGAGAUCUGGCCAGAUAUAAUCAGAUCUGACCAGAUAUAACUCAAAAAAUAAUCUGAUUAGAUCUGACCAGAUCUGGUCAGAUCUUUAAAUUGUCUCUAUCUGGCAAGACAUAGCCAGAUAGAACUAGAUCUGACGAGAUAUACUAAAAAAUUGUUUACAUUAAAUAUCACAAGAUCUGAAUAGAUGUAUUGAGAUCUGAUCAGAUAUAACAAAAUAAUAGCUAAAUAAUCAAAUCAACAAAAAUUACAAUUUCAUGGAACAAUAUCCAGUGAGUACUAUUUUCUUUUCACACUUUGCGUAUCUGUCUUCAUUAAUUACUAAAAAAAAAUUUUAUUUAAUAAAAGCUAGUUGAAAAUACCUACAUGUAUCAAUUAAUCUUUAACAAAUAUCUGAUCAAUAUAUUUCUCAAUAAAUAUAUGGUAAGAAUUAAA
Cotesia glomerata is the source of this 1054-nucleotide long non-coding RNA. RefSeq lists it as uncharacterized. The record is from RefSeq and is a predicted model, not a curated record. The transcript has 2 exons. Lineage: Eukaryota; Metazoa; Arthropoda; Insecta; Hymenoptera; Braconidae.